This 270-nucleotide ribosomal RNA is filed under the name uncultured archaeon. Its description in RNAcentral is "partial 16S ribosomal RNA". It matches the Rfam family "Archaeal small subunit ribosomal RNA", at positions 477 to 747 of the family's 1478-position model. The record is from RNAcentral.
CAGCACCUCAAGUGGUCAGGAUGAUUAUUGGGCCUAAAGCAUCCGUAGCCGGCGCUGUAAGUUUUCGGUUAAAUCUGUACGCUCAACGUACAGGCUGCCGGGAAUACUGCAGCGCUAGGGAGUGGGAGAGGUAGACGGUACUCGGUAGGAAGGGGUAAAAUCCUUUGAUCUAUUGAUGACCACCUGUGGCGAAGGCGGUCUACCAGAACACGUCCGACGGUGAGGGAUGAAAGCUGGGGGAGCGAUCCGGAUUAGAUACCCGAGUAGUCC